GGUUGUGGCUCAGUGGUAGAGCACACGCCUUACACAUGUGAGGGCGCUGGGUUCGAUCCUUAGCACCA
RNAcentral lists this transfer RNA (68 nucleotides) under Marmota monax (woodchuck). RNAcentral's name for it is "tRNA.Val". The record is from RNAcentral. Lineage: Eukaryota; Metazoa; Chordata; Mammalia; Rodentia; Sciuridae.